GUGGCCACCGCGUUUCGCCGGCGGUUGCGGCGGCGCCGCUGGAGGACAACAACGUCCUCGGCGAGGUUCUCGUCCGCCUCCCCCCGGAGCUAUCAUCCCUCCCGCGCGCAUCGCUUGUCUGCAAGCCGUGAGGUCGCCUCGCCGCCUCCGCUGACUUCCGGCGCCGCUGGCGCGACCGCCACGGCCCACGGGAGACCCCCGGUCCUAGGCGUCUCCGAUAAGCGCCUGACUUCUCUCCAGUUCAUCCCUGCAGACCGCAGCAUCCCCGCGGAGCGCUUCUCUCUCCAGGUCUGCACCGCGUGGGACACCUGGUGCGUGCUCGGGUGCCGCCAGGGCCGCGUCCUCAUCAUGAACUGGACGCUGCGUGAGUUCCUCAUCUGCGACCCUAUCUCCGGUGAACGCCACCGCGUGUCAUUCCCACCGGAUCUAGUCGACGGCGGGCACAGCGCCAACGGAGCUCUGCUCUCGGACGACAAGCAGAGCCCACUGAGGCUGGUCCUAUUAUAUGAGGCCCGCGUCUACUCCUUUGAGACCGGCACAUGGGGAGACAUCAUCUCCACUGCUGAGCCAUGUCAUCUUACCGGUGUCCCCGUCACCGUGGUCGGCAACCGCCUCUACUGUUGGCUGGCAAAGCCGGGCAAACCUUGGUAUAGAUUUCUAGAGUUAAAUCUGGAAAGCCAGAGCCUAGCUCUGAUUACAAGCCCUCCCUAUGCGAAUAUCAGCAGCGGCAACAGCCAGAUCAUCCCAGGGGAGGAUGGCGCUGUUGGCCUCGCCCUAUUGUUGUACCCUACCAUCGAAAUGUGGAACCGCAACAUUGAUUCUCACGGUGUUGCGACAUGGGUGCUGCGCAAGACCGUUGUCAUGGACAACUUCGUUGAUCUGACAUCUUCGUGGGCGGCUUGGAACUCACUAGUUAUCGGGUAUGCCGAGGAUGCGAAUGCGAUUCUUAUAUCGGUGUUCAAAGAGAGGUACAUCCGUGUCUUUACAGUUCAACUUGAGUCAAUGAAAUGCAACAGGCUUCAUGGACACCUUCUCGACAAUUUGUAUUAUCCGUUCGCCGGUUUCUAUAACGCAGGU
Molecule: ribosomal RNA, 1077 nt
Filed under: Triticum aestivum (bread wheat)
Lineage: Eukaryota; Viridiplantae; Streptophyta; Magnoliopsida; Poales; Poaceae
Description: partial small subunit ribosomal RNA
Source: RNAcentral